CAGCUCGUGUCGUGAGAUGUUGGGUUAAGUCCCGCAACGAGCGCAACCCUCGUCCGUUGUUGCCAGCGUAAAGGCGGGCACUCAACGGAGACCGCCGGAGACGAUCCGGAGGAAGGUGGGGAUGACGUCAAAUCAUCAUGCCCCUUAUGUCCUGGGCCACACACGUGCUACAAUGGCCGGUACAGCGAGGAGCGAGGCCGCGAGGCGGAGCGAAUCUCUUAAAGCCGGUCUCAGUUCGGAUCGCAGGCUGCAACUCGCCUGCGUGAAGCCGGAAUUGCUAGUAAUCGCGGAUCAGCACGCCGCGGUGAAUACGUUCCCCGGGUCUUGUA
This 329-nucleotide ribosomal RNA is filed under the name uncultured bacterium. RNAcentral describes it as "bacterial SSU rRNA". It matches the Rfam family "Bacterial small subunit ribosomal RNA", at positions 1056 to 1385 of the family's 1533-position model. The record is from RNAcentral.